GUGAAAUAAAUGGGCUUUAAGAUUGUCCUCAAUGUUUUUGAAAAUUAGAGAAUAGUUUUUUAACAAAAUAUUUAAACAACAUUAUCAGUUAUCAUUUUGGUACUUAAUAACUCUUAGACAUCAAGGCAGAUGGAGUUAUUGCCAUGGUGUUAGGACAAGCUGAUUGUGUUAAAGCAUGUGACACACCUAAUUUCAGAAACCAGAGGGGAAAUCGCCGCUCAUUAAAGUUCAAGGAUUUGAAGAUUAUCAUGAAGAAAUAUUCCCCCAACUCCACCAUCUGAAUCACUGAAUCAUAGUUACUAUUCUAGACUUUUGAAGGACUGUGUCUUCAAGAGGCCCUUGUUAAAAUAAUUCCUGUUUGUAGCUUUGACCACCCUCGCUGGGUGAGAAUCUGCACAGUUUAGAGGGAAAAAGUGUGGCACAUUGGGAUGAAAGCAAUCCUAGAAGAUAGAACUCUGGGAAUUCUUGGUCCGGCUCCAACAUGCAAUGGCCAAGCAACCUUGACCUCUUGGUAGCGUGGAGAUGAAUGUACCUCCCAACCUAGCCCACAGACUGUUGUUAACGUCCUAUAAAAUAAUAGGCAACGUGGUAUAUCUAUUAGUUUGACCUUUACAUUUAUAGCUCUAUUCUUGGAACCCGAGUCCCAGCCUUGAUAGCCAACAAUCAAUCAUCCCAAUGUCAAUGCCCCCAUGGCAUUCAUUGUUGUAUCUAUGUACCUUCCUCCCUAGUUACUCCAACUCAAAAUUGGAGUCAUCUUUAUUUUCUAUUUCUGAUGUUCACUUGGUGUCUUGUCUUUUAGACACAGUACUACCACCCUGGUGGUUCAUCAUUAUACAUUUAAGCUAAUUACAUGUUGUUUGGCCAUUUCUUCUCUUUCUGAUCCACCUCAUGUACAUGUCUAAAAUGUUCUCCUUAUACUUCUCUCUCUUUCCAUACCAUUCUCUGUCUCCCUGUUGCCUAUGGGAUAAAGUUCUAAGUUCUCAUUCUGGUUGUUAAGGCCCAUCACAAAGAAGUUUGUCCAGUUGCUACACCCUCCUCAACAUAAAUGCAAAGCUUUGGCAAGUCAGCUCGUACGACUGUCUCAGUCACAAGCAUUAUACUUAUUUCAGCUCUGAGAAUUAGCUUACUCUGCUUCCCACUUCCGUCUUAUGCAUAACAUGGUUUUUUGUUGGUCUAAGUUCUACCUUUAUUUCCAUGCCCAAGUAUGGCACCUCACUGAUUCUGGUUUUGACUCUGAACUCUCAUUUGGAAUUUGGAAUAUCCCUGUUCAUUCUCAUGUUUCAAUAUGUAAUGUUUUCAACUGUCUGUCCUGCCUUUUAAAGUGGAUCUUUAAGAAAGGACCUGUGGCUUUUUCUCUACCAUCCAGCCCUGCCCCUGUUGUGCUGUGUUUAGAAGGGUUGCUAGUCUGAUGAAUAAUCAUUUUAACAGAUCUGCCUAAUUUUUGUGCUCUUCUCAGGUUUAUUCUUUUUAAUGAGCAAGAUACUGUGCUUGACUCUCCUUGGAAAUAUAAUAUUUGCUUGCUGUUGAAAGCCCUGUUUCUUUGCCUUCCAGCUUUUGAAUUUGUCGACUUGGACAGUUUGCUAAGGGGUCAAUUCCUUACCAUUUGGGCAUAAAGGAAAAUGCAUCUCCAUGCUUCAUUUGCUUCAUCUC
Molecule: small RNA, 1650 nt
Filed under: Pan troglodytes (chimpanzee)
Lineage: Eukaryota; Metazoa; Chordata; Mammalia; Primates; Hominidae
Description: processed transcript
Source: RNAcentral